GGGCGGGGUGAAAAGAUAUUAGGGGGCGGGUCUUAGUCACGUGAACAGGAGCGUGGGGUUGCGUGGGCUGGUCACAUGGCGCCGAUCUCUUUUCCUCCCCUUUCGAGAGCUUAGCUCCGUCAUGUGACAGUGGCGAAUUCCGAGGCCUCCUGUUCCACAUGACAAGGGCUUUUGCUCCUUGGCAACAUAAGUAGUUCUGCAUCACGUGAUAAAGUUGCUGCGCUGGUUUGGCAAUGGCGGUUUUUGAGCUGCCCUUACCACGUGACGCGGGGCAAAGGUGAGGGGCGGGGCCUCUGUGAGGCUGCGCGAGUGCACGCAUGCGCGGCAGCCAUCUUACGACCGUCGCUCUGAGUACUUGGGCGGAAGUGCUCUGAGAGUCCGGCGUGUGAGUGUUUCUUAGGGACCGAAGCGCGUUCUGGGACUUUCGGCCUCCAGCGGAGGUCAGCGCAGUGCUCGCAUCUCCCGCGGGAGGUGAAGAAGGCUAGAGAUGGAUAAACUGAGAGCCAGGCAAGGAAGAGAUCUCAUCCAGAGGACUCACGGGAGAGCCGGGACUGCGACUCAUGGCGCUCGGCCACAAACAGCUCCGGGGGUCCUAAGUAAAGGCACCAGUGACCGAGUUCCUUCUCCUUAGGAGCGUAGUAUCGUUGAAUCCUCUCAGGCACCUUGAGGGGUCCCCGUUGUACAGUCUGUGCUAAGCCCCGCUCUCUUCCAGGGUCACGUUGGCGCUCAACGGGCAUAGUUCUGCAGCUUGACAGUUGCCCGCGUUGCAGGGAUUUGGAGCAAGAAGCAAGGAGUUCUUAAAAAUGGGGGAAAGUUCAAGACUUACAGCUUAAUAACGGUUCUUCCUUGCAAAAAUGUAGGGACAGUGCAACACAGAAAAGGAUACAAGGAUCCAGUGCCUACCUGGGUUUGAGUCCUGUGUGAUCAAUGACAAUGCACCUCCCUGAGCCUCCGUUUCCCUAUCUACGUAAUAGUGAUGAUUUAUUCUUUUUAUAAAGCACUUCGCACAAUUAUUUUUGCAUAACAAAUACGCCCAAACUGAUAGCUUUUAUAAAGAAGGUAAGCUGUAAAAUACGAUUACAGAAAUAGGUGCGUGCUGCACCCAUUGCUCUUCUAUUUUAUUUACAUUUUAUUUAGGAUUUUUAAUAGGUAAUAUUUUCACGUGUUGUAAAGUGUCAUAUGUGCAAAACAAUAUGAGAGAAUGAAAUUGAUCUCCUUCCUUCAGACACCCAGUUCCCCUCCCUCUUGGCAGGCAGGGUAAAGUUUUUUUGUGUUAUCAGGACGCAUAACCGUAUUUUUAUUGCUGUUUUUCACAAAAAUAGGUGUUUUAUUCUA
This is a non-coding RNA of Microcebus murinus (gray mouse lemur), 1335 nucleotides long. The record is from RefSeq and is a predicted model, not a curated record. Lineage: Eukaryota; Metazoa; Chordata; Mammalia; Primates; Cheirogaleidae.